AUCCGUUGAAGUGAAGUCAGUUACCAUGGAAACGAGGCUACAAGGAACAACAGAAAGCGGCAAAGCUCCGUGUCUCUAUGGUUAUCUUCACUUUUUCAGAUUUGUCCAUGCUGAUGGCCAUGCAGCAGAGUUCAAGCAAACCUGUCAGAAAACAUCUCUAAGGGGCUAUGUAUGAACCAUAUGGCUAGAUACCCAUACAAGUUACAGAAGCUCCAGUAUGGAUCCAGCCUCACUUGUAAAGACUUCAGAUGACGCCUACACUCUCAGAGACUUCAGAUGAUGGCAACUAGAUGGACAUACAAAACUGCCAAACAUUAUAUAUAUAUUGCACUCACUGCCUCAAAGCAUAGGUUUGCAGAUUUUCAACCCACGUUAUAUUUUUACAAUAAAUUGGGGUAUUUGAAAAGACAAUGUUAACGCUUUUUUUUCUUGAGUUAAACUUAAAUUCCCAAUUAGUUCUUGACAAUACUCUGCCAGAUGACAGAUUUCAUAUUACAGACAUUGGAACAAUACAAAGUGGGUUGGAAAUCUGUAAACUUCCUUUAUAAUCAUAAUUGUCUGUUUAACUGAGCAUGACUUGAAACACAUGCCUUGUAUUAUCUUAGAGCUAAAUGAUUGCUGUAUUAGCAUUACUUCGUUACUUAAUGAGAUUAAUGCGUAUCCCUAGUUUCACAGACAAGUCUUAAGCCUAUAGUCCUAGACUAAGACACAUGUUUGAGCUGUCUCAAUUGAAAAGAACUUUUAAUGCGAGAUUUUAAAAUAAACCAGUGCCAGUGAUUUGUCUUAAGAUAGACACCAGUAACAAUUUUUUUCUAAGGAAUGUUUAUUAAAGAUGCUUAAACAUCUUAAUUUAACUAAGGCAUAGUCUAGUAGCUUUAGCUAAGCCCUGUCUGUGAAACCAGGCCUUUAUACAUUUUCUUAAUGCAUUAAGAUAUGUAAGUUGAAUUAAAAGAUUAAAUUCGGUUUAAACUUUAUUGGUAAAACAUACCAAGCAGAUUAGCCCAGAAAAUAAACCAAAUGUGUUAAAUUACAGUUUGCUGGACUAUUGUAUGAAUUUAAUAAUUAUUAAAAUCCUCAUACUUGUUUGACAAAUUAAUAUAUCAUUAUUGAGAACUGAGAUAGGUGGUAUUAUUAAAUAUUUGGUUUAACACCUUACAAUGAUUUUAAUUACCAUGCAAAGUGUUACAUUUCUUUGGCAUAUUGUUUAGUUUUGUUUUGUUUUUAGUAAACGUUUCCAGUGUUUGUAUACAAUUAUUUUAACUUGAUAUAUCUGUUAUGGCGUCUUUGACAAGCUAUUAAACUUUUUUUUUUUUUUGUACAUUAUUUCAUUGUUCAUAAUAUAUAUGUUUGUCAGUUAGACGUUUUGUCAUAUUAGGUUGCAUUAAAUUAAAUCCUUGUAGGUCUUAGCAUAAGAUAUUUUCUCCAGUGAUUUGUCAGUGUAGCUAACGGGUCCUUAGAAGAAUUGUGUUAAACAUGAGUUCAAAGCCUACUGGAAAUCUACUACAUAUUUUGCGAACCUACAGUUCAAGUCUACCUCCAGAAGGAUUGAGAGCUCUCAGGUUUGAUGAUUAACGCGUUCUUUCUGUAAACGCCCAACGCGUUUCGGCACGUGCAACAUGAGAGGU
Molecule: long non-coding RNA, 1625 nt
Organism: Paramisgurnus dabryanus
Lineage: Eukaryota; Metazoa; Chordata; Actinopteri; Cypriniformes; Cobitidae
Source: RefSeq, a predicted model, not a curated record